RNAcentral lists this ribosomal RNA (248 nucleotides) under uncultured bacterium. Its description in RNAcentral is "partial 16S ribosomal RNA". It matches the Rfam family "Bacterial small subunit ribosomal RNA", at positions 335 to 599 of the family's 1533-position model. The record is from RNAcentral.
GAGCCUACGGGGGGCAGCAGUGGGGGAUAUUGCACAAUGGGGGGAACCCUGAUGCAGCGACGCCGCGUGGGUGAAGGAGCGUUUCGGCGCGUAAAGCCCUAUCGGCAGGGAAGAAGGAGGACGGUACCUGACUAAGAAGCCCCGGCUAACUACGUGCCAGCAGCCGCGGUAAUACGUAGGGGGCAAGCGUUAUCCGGAUUUACUGGGUGUAAAGGGAGAGUAGGGGGCAUGGGAAGCCAGAAGUGAAA